Oncorhynchus tshawytscha (Chinook salmon) is the source of this 1022-nucleotide long non-coding RNA. Lineage: Eukaryota; Metazoa; Chordata; Actinopteri; Salmoniformes; Salmonidae. The record is from Ensembl.
GUAGUGUCUGGGCGUUAAGCUCCCUCUUGUCCUUUGCCAGGGCCAAUCAGCCAUGUUCUCCAGGGCAUCACGACUCUCUGAUACCCCUCUCUUUAGGAGGGUCUGACUGGACCACUGGGGUAGGACUGACUCACGGCCCGGAAGAAGGGAGAAUAAUUAGAGGGAGGAGACAGAGAGGGGGGAACAAGGGAUGUGAGUAGCACGGCCACCAGUGGGAGACACUGAGUCAAAUAUGUGUUCCUGCUACAUUUACAGUAAAUGCACAGCUCACAAAGGGGAUGAGAAGAAGUAAAGAUAGCAAGGACAGGCUAAUUGACUAGAAUGCAAGGACAGGCUAAUUGACUAGAAUGCAAGGACAGGCUAAUUGACUAGAAUGCAAGGACAGGCUAAUUGACUAGAAUGCAAGGACAGGUUAAUUGACUAGAAUGCAAGGACAGGCUAAUUGACUAGAAUGCAAGGACAGGUUAAUUGACUAGAAUGCAUUUGCCCAAGGAGGUAAGGGAGUGUAAGCAAGAGGAUACCAUCCUGAUCUAUUCUGUAGUAUGACAGAACUAGAACUACAGAAACUAUUAUGUCCCAGGUGAUAGGUGUACCUGUCAUGUUCGUUACAUAGAAAUACAAAAACCCCUAGACAUACAAAAACCCUCGACAAACAAAAAAAUAGAUUUACCCACUCUAGUCACACCCUGACCUAACCAAAAUAUAUAUAAAAAACAGAGAUAUCUAAGGUCAGGGCGUGACAGUACCUUGCUCAGAAAAUCCUUAGAAUCAGCAGCUUCCUCUCCUGCCCCCUCCCUGUCCAGUACAGAGGGUCAGAGGGCGAGAUGGCAGAUUGUUUAACUUGACAGUGUGACUUCUGUUCCUCAGGAGGUCCAGUAUACAGUGGCACAUAGCUGGGUUGAUGUUCAUGUCCUGUAGCUUAGUCAAUAGUUUGUGGGGAUUGAUGGUAUUGAAGGCGGAGCUAAGUUAACAAGAUGCCUGCGUGGGUGUCGGGUGUCUCAGUGUUGCAGUGUGUGGUGGAG